This 253-nucleotide ribosomal RNA is filed under the name uncultured bacterium. Its description in RNAcentral is "partial 16S ribosomal RNA". It matches the Rfam family "Bacterial small subunit ribosomal RNA", at positions 524 to 776 of the family's 1533-position model. The record is from RNAcentral.
UACGUAGGGUGCAAGCGUUAUCCGGAAUUAUUGGGCGUAAAGAGCUCGUAGGCGGUUUGUCGCGUCUGCUGUGAAAACCCGAGGCUCAACCUCGGGCCUGCAGUGGGUACGGGCAGACUAGAGUGCGGUAGGGGAGAUUGGAAUUCCUGGUGUAGCGGUGGAAUGCGCAGAUAUCAGGAGGAACACCGAUGGCGAAGGCGGCGACCUGGGUAGAUACUGACGCUGAGGCGCGAAAGCGUGGGGAGCAAACAGG